CCAUAGGGGCCAGGAGUUUGAGGAGCAGAUUAACAAGUAACGAGGUGGGGGAGGGCAUCACGUAUGAGUUUGCACUGGUCAGUUGUACUCAGUGUAGUAAACGGCAUCACUCCAUACACACACUUGUGUAUGAGCAUGGAGACACCUGAUCACAGACUAGAAGAGGACGCUUAAAUCUGUUCUCAUCAGAUGUGAAAUGUACUUUCAUCCUCCAGAAACACAUGAACCAAAAUGUGACGUCCACAGAUGAGUGACCCCUGGUGGAACACCUUCAGCACAACCUGCAAAGCCAUGAACAUGACUUUGGAAAAGGAGAUCUUUCCUGCAGCCAGGGACAGUCGCUUCAUCAGAGCGCUCAUUUGAGAAGAAAUGCUUCAUAAAUGCCACAGGACAGAAAUCUCCCCAGAGACCAGUGGAGGCUGCUGAGGGAAGGACGGCUCAUAAUAACGUCUGGAACGGAGCAAAUGGAAACCAUGUGUUUAAUGUAUUUAAUACCAUUCCACUGAUCCCGCUCCAGCCAUUACCACGAGCCCGUCCUCACCAAUUAAGGUGGCACCAACCUCCUGUGCUAGAGCCAAAUCACUGUGCAAUGAAUGAGCUAAAUGUGGUUCUCCCUAUAAAUGCAUCUAUCCUGAGAUUGUCAAGAUAUUUACAAUAGUAGAUGGUCCACACUCCAAAAACGGAAAUGUUCAGUUAUUUUAUGCAAUUUGAUUCGUAUAAAUCAAAAAUACAUAUUGAGUCUGUUAGGUCGUCGCUAGGUUUCCAUCCAAUUGGCGACAGAUUUUCAUGCGAAUAUUCGAAAAUCUGCGUAUAAGGAAUAUGCACAUUUUCUCACCAGAGAUGUUUUCAUCAACUUGUUGAUUAGAAGCUGUGUAUGAUGAUGUAGUGCACAUAAAAAUAACUUGAAUAAUUGGAACGUGCGCUCUAGCCAACAGCUCGCAGAUACAUUGCAAGUAUAGCCUACAUGAUGAGAUUAAUAUGUACAAAAGAGCAAGAUUAUCUUUUUUUUGUCAAACAGUAGCCAAGCAUUGAUCAUCAUGUCACUACAAUAAGACCCUCAAUAUUUAUUGGAAAGGUGGAUCAAGCUCAUCACCGUGCACUUUCCCCACCUUGUGAAGCUCAUUAUAACUUAUUUCAUCUGUCGCCUAAAAAACUGCAUGCUUUCUGAGUCAUAGUGGGAGGACCAAACAAAAUGUAAUUGUGAGACUCUAAGUUUACUUUGAUAUGAUGGUUAUUUUAUUAAUAUUUGCGCAUAAAAGCGUUUCCACAGCCAUUUCUCACAUAAUACAUUUUACAGACACAAAAAGAU
This is a long non-coding RNA of Salmo salar (Atlantic salmon), 1309 nucleotides long. RefSeq lists it as uncharacterized. Lineage: Eukaryota; Metazoa; Chordata; Actinopteri; Salmoniformes; Salmonidae. The record is from RefSeq and is a predicted model, not a curated record.